Stegodyphus mimosarum is the source of this 73-nucleotide non-coding RNA. NCBI's taxonomy places the organism in Eukaryota, Metazoa, Arthropoda, Arachnida, Araneae, Eresidae. The record is from Rfam.
GCCUUCGUGGUGUAGUGGUCAGCAUGCUCGACGCGUAUUCGAGAGUUCUGUGGUUCGAGUCCCGGCGAGGGCA